UGUAAACAUCCUACACUCAGCUUUAACAAGUAAAAGCGGCUGGGAGACGGGUGUUUACUCU
RNAcentral lists this microRNA precursor (61 nucleotides) under Callorhinchus milii (elephant shark). Its description in RNAcentral is "Cmi-Mir-30-P2a_pre stem-loop". It matches the Rfam family "mir-30 microRNA precursor family", at positions 1 to 60 of the family's 77-position model. Rfam says of the family: This family consists of the mammalian microRNA (miRNA) precursor mir-30a. Animal miRNAs are transcribed as ~70nt precursors and subsequently processed by the Dicer enzyme to give a ~22nt product. The record is from RNAcentral. Lineage: Eukaryota; Metazoa; Chordata; Chondrichthyes; Chimaeriformes; Callorhinchidae.